CGGGAUGUAGCGCAGCCAGGCAGCGCGCCACGUUCGGGACGUGGAGGCCGUGGGUUCGAAUCCCGCCAUCCCGA
RNAcentral lists this transfer RNA (74 nucleotides) under Bacteroidota bacterium. Its description in RNAcentral is "Bacteroidetes bacterium (cold seep metagenome) tRNA-Pro". It matches the Rfam family "tRNA". From Rfam's summary of the family: Transfer RNA (tRNA) molecules are approximately 80 nucleotides in length. Their secondary structure includes four short double-helical elements and three loops (D, anti-codon, and T loops). The record is from RNAcentral. Lineage: Bacteria; Pseudomonadati; Bacteroidota.